Molecule: ribosomal RNA, 492 nt
Filed under: uncultured bacterium
Lineage: Bacteria
Description: partial 16S ribosomal RNA
Rfam family: Bacterial small subunit ribosomal RNA
Source: RNAcentral
AGUGAACGCUGGCGGUAGGCCUAACACAUGCAAGUCGAACGGCAGCACAGUAAGAGCUUGCUCUUACGGGUGGCGAGUGGCGGACGGGUGAGGAAUACAUCGGAAUCUACUUUUUCGUGGGGGAUAACGUAGGGAAACUUACGCUAAUACCGCAUACGACCUACGGGUGAAAGCAGGGGAUCUUCGGACCUUGCGCGAUUGAAUGAGCCGAUGUCGGAUUAGCUAGUUGGCGGGGUAAAGGCCAACCAAGGCGACGAUCCGUAGCUGGUCUGAGAGGAUGAUCAGCCACACUGGAACUGAGACAUGGUCCAGACUCCUACGGGAGGCAGCAGUGGGGAAUAUUGGACAAUGGGCGCAAGCCUGAUCCAGCCAUACCGCGUGGGUGAAGAAGGCCUUCGGGUUGUAAAGCCCUUUUGUUGGGAAAGAAAAGCAGCAGGUUAAUACCCCGCUGUUCUGACGGUACCCAAAGAAUAAGCACCGGCUAACUUCGUG